Molecule: ribosomal RNA, 594 nt
Filed under: Triticum aestivum (bread wheat)
Lineage: Eukaryota; Viridiplantae; Streptophyta; Magnoliopsida; Poales; Poaceae
Description: partial small subunit ribosomal RNA
Source: RNAcentral
AUGGUGACUCCGACACCGUACCAGGUGUCUGCGGAGGAGGACAAAGGUGCAGAGGAAGCCCGCCGUGGUAGGAAGAGGGUCGCUUUUGAAGGCCAGGAGGGGAAACCUUCCAAGAAAGGGAAAACACCAUCGACGGGCGGUUUGGGCCGGGCAAGCGAUGUUGACGUGGAGCUUUGUGAUGAGGAUAAACCUCUGGCCAAACCGUUAACGCCUGGUGUUUCCCAAUCGUCCUCCUCUUCGGGAGACCUUCUUCCAGAGAUGAUGGAGAGUGAUAUGCCCUCCCCGGCCCCCUCGCCCAAUAGGGCGGAUGAUUCUGAGAUAUCGUCCCGGGGCGCUCCUCCCGGUCAACAAGCAGUGCAGGAAACGAAGAGGGCAUUACCCGAAGGUGGUGCCUUUGUCCCUCAGGGUUCGGGAAUCAAGCAUGACGGCCCUGCCCUAUCCGGUUUAGAGCCGGAGAUGAUCCUGGGGGCGAGUGGGCGGAUUCCUUCAAAGGAAUACCGUACUCCGGCGGUGGCUUCCGAAGACCCAGAAGUGCAGGAUAUGCCGACGAGCAUGUUGCGACGAGCUCCGUUUCGGAGGAACACCGUGCCUUGA